AGAUUGAACGCUGGCGGCAGGCCUAACACAUGCAAGUCGAGCGGUAGAGAGGUGCUUGCACCUCUUGAGAGCGGCGGACGGGUGAGUAAUGCCUAGGAAUCUGCCUAGUGGUGGGGGAUAACGUUCGGAAACGGACGCUAAUACCGCAUACGUCCUACGGGAGAAAGCGGGGACCUUCGGGCCUCGCGCCAUUAGAUGAGCCUAGGUCGGAUUAGCUAGUUGGUGAGGUAAUGGCUCACCAAGGCGACGAUCCGUAACUGGUCUGAGAGGAUGAUCAGUCACACUGGAACUGAGACACGGUCCAGACUCCUACGGGAGGCAGCAGUGGGAAUAGUUGGACAAUGGGACGAAAGCCUGAUCCAGCCAUGCCGCGUGUGUGAAGAAGGUCGUUCGGAUUGUAAAGCUACUUUAAGUGGUAAGGAAGGUUAGUAACCUUAAUACGUUAGACUAACUUUGAACGUUACCGAACAGAAAUAAGACAACCGGUCUAACUUCGU
Molecule: ribosomal RNA, 497 nt
Filed under: uncultured soil bacterium
Lineage: Bacteria
Description: bacterial SSU rRNA
Rfam family: Bacterial small subunit ribosomal RNA
Source: RNAcentral